Molecule: ribosomal RNA, 497 nt
Filed under: uncultured bacterium
Lineage: Bacteria
Description: partial 16S ribosomal RNA
Rfam family: Bacterial small subunit ribosomal RNA
Source: RNAcentral
GAUGAACGCUGGCGGCGUGCCUAAUACAUGCAAGUCGAGCGAACAGACGAGGAGCUUGCUCCUCUGACGUUAGCGGCGGACGGGUGAGUAACACGUGGAUAACCUACCUAUAAUACUGGGAUAACUUCGGGAAACCGGAGCUAAUACCGGAUAAUAUAUUGAACCGCAUGGUUCAAUAGUGAAAGACGGUUUUGCUGUCACUUAUAGAUGGAUCCGCGCCGCAUUAGCUAGUUGGUAAGGUAACGGCUUACCAAGGCAACGAUGCGUAGCCGACCUGAGAGGGUGAUCGGCCACACUGGAACUGAGACACGGUGCAGACUCCUACGGGAGGCAGCAGUGGGGAAUCUUCCGCAAUGGGAGAAAGCCUGACGGAGCAACGCAGCGUGAGUGAUGAAGGUCUUCGGAUCUUAAAACUCUGUUAUUAGGGAAGAACAAAUGUGUAAGUAACUAUGCACGUCUUGACGGUACCUAAUCAGAAAGCCACGGCUAACUACGUG